UGAAUGCUAAUGAGGUAACCUUCGAGAAAGCUUUGAUACUACUACAGGGCGAUGUAACUCAGGUUGGACGCCCAAAGCAGAGCGAUGUAACUAAGAUUCGACGCCCAAAGCGCAAAAAAAGUGGUUAGACAAGGCUGUGUGAGCAUGCACAUGCCUAUAUACAUAUUAUCUGCGACGCAAAUAUUUAUGAUAUUUCCAUUUUUGCCCCUCUUUUUUUGGAACUGUUUUCCUGCUAUACAACAUCGGUACAUAAAAAGAGUCGAUUUUUCGUAGGUCUAGAGAUAUAGGUCCUUGCGCUCAUUUUUGUUGGCAACAAAUUUUGAAGUGUAAUUUUUUCAUUUAAUUUGUAUUAAUGAAGGAUUGUAGAAUUUUUCUUAGAAGCCCUUUUGUUUGUACAAUAACAUCUAUUGAUAGAAGACGAUACAGAUAAACCUCUAUAAAUUAAUACAUCCAGAACAAGUGAACUUCUAUUGAUUUAGCGAAAUAUUAAAUUGUUGAAUUAAUAAUUUAAUACAUAUUCACCGAGUCGGCACCAAGAGAAAUUAUUAUUUAAGUGAAGUCCUCAGCAUCUCCAUAAAUUGCUAUCUUUAACACCCCAAUCUAG
RNAcentral lists this long non-coding RNA (604 nucleotides) under Erythranthe guttata (spotted monkey flower). RNAcentral describes it as "long non-coding RNA (EGUT_LNC002128)". The record is from RNAcentral. Lineage: Eukaryota; Viridiplantae; Streptophyta; Magnoliopsida; Lamiales; Phrymaceae.